GAGGGUAUAGCUCAGUGGUAGAAUGUACACUUAGCAAGCAUGAUGUCCUGGGUUCAAAUCCCAGUACUUCUA
This 72-nucleotide transfer RNA is filed under the name Camelus bactrianus (Bactrian camel). It matches the Rfam family "tRNA". From Rfam's summary of the family: Transfer RNA (tRNA) molecules are approximately 80 nucleotides in length. Their secondary structure includes four short double-helical elements and three loops (D, anti-codon, and T loops). Further hydrogen bonds mediate the characteristic L-shaped molecular structure. tRNAs have two regions of fundamental functional importance: the anti-codon, which is responsible for specific mRNA codon recognition, and the 3' end, to which the tRNAs corresponding amino acid is attached (by aminoacyl-tRNA synthetases). tRNAs cope with the degeneracy of the genetic code in two manners: having more than one tRNA (with a specific anti-codon) for a particular amino acid; and 'wobble' base-pairing, i.e. permitting non-standard base-pairing at the 3rd anti-codon position. The record is from Rfam by way of RNAcentral. RNAcentral also lists the same sequence under 1 other name. Lineage: Eukaryota; Metazoa; Chordata; Mammalia; Artiodactyla; Camelidae.